This 464-nucleotide ribosomal RNA is filed under the name uncultured bacterium. RNAcentral describes it as "partial 16S ribosomal RNA". It matches the Rfam family "Bacterial small subunit ribosomal RNA", at positions 28 to 506 of the family's 1533-position model. The record is from RNAcentral.
GAUGAACGCUGGCGGCGUGCUUAACACAUGCAAGUCGAACGGAAAGGCUCCUGCUUGCAGGGGUACUCGAGUGGCGAACGGGUGAGUAACACGUGGGUGAUCUGCCCCGCACUUCGGGAUAAGCCUGGGAAACUGGGUCUAAUACCGGAUAGGACCACAUUUUGGAUGGUGUGGUGGAAAGUUUUUCGGUGUGGGAUGAGCUCGCGGCCUAUCAGCUUGUUGGUGGGGUAAUGGCCUACCAAGGCGUCGACGGGUAGCCGGCCUGAGAGGGUGUACGGCCACAUUGGGACUGAGAUACGGCCCAGACUCCUACGGGAGGCAACAGUGGGGAAUAUUGCACAAUGGGCGCAAGCCUGAUGCAGCGACGCCGCGUGGGGGAUGACGGCCUUCGGGUUGUAAACUCCUUUCGCUAGGGACGAAGCGCAAGUGACGGUACCUGGAGAAGAAGCACCGGCUAACUACGU